GAGCUGAGUACGAGAACAUGGACGUCUCUGUAAUCAGUGUCACUGUGGGAGGUGAGGUGCUGAAUAAGACUGGGUUUGUAGACCACCUGGAGGUUUCUCUACCAGUUGAGGUGACAGAGUACUUGUCUGCAGUCUUUCAGAGAGAGAAGGACCAGGCAAAUUAAGAUCCUAUUAAGAAGCUUGUGCAUAGUCAUCUAGUCAAGCGAUGGCAUCUUCAGUGGUGUGAUGCAGUUCUUCUAGGUCACCGCUGAACCUAGUCAGCAGGCAUUCACCGAUCAUGUGUCACGAAGGCCCCGGUGAUACUGGUUGGCUGCACAGAGACCUUGCCCAGUCUGGAACCUGUUCAACAGAGACCACUGAUGACGGGGCAGGUCAA
Molecule: long non-coding RNA, 376 nt
Organism: Mauremys reevesii (Reeves's turtle)
Lineage: Eukaryota; Metazoa; Chordata; Testudines; Geoemydidae
Exons: 3
Source: RefSeq, a predicted model, not a curated record